CACGUUGAUUGCAUUAUUGGAUAUAUGUAAACAUGAGCUGAAGUUAAGGCAGGGAAGCCACUUAAAGUUAAACCUGAUGAAGACUGUCUCAUCCACCUUUCACAGGCAUGUAUUGGUAAUAGGAAGAAGGGUGAAACUGUUCUCAUGUAUGUGACUGUUAAUGGGAAGAAGCUUGUGAUUAGAACUCUUUCUCAGGAGAAGAAGAUUCCUUAGGUCAGCUUCGAUCUGGUCUUUGAGAAGAAGUUUGAACUCUCCCACUCCUUGGUGAGAGGAAGUAUCUACUUCAUUGGCUACAAAAUGCCCGACCUCGAUGAAUAGGUGGAUUCCUCUUCUUCUGAGGAUUACUCUUCUUCUGACUCAGAAGAAGAGGAGGAAGUGGAGGUCCCUUCAACUGCACUGCCAAUGUAAGUGCUGGAGCUGCUGCUUCGAGUUUGUCAAGUCUGACUCAAAGCCAAAGGUAAAAUGAGAAAGUAGUGAGCUUUGCAUUUCGUAACGAUCAACGUUGAAUGCCACUUCUGUAAUGUAUAAGGCUGUCAUUCAAUCAGCCUAAUUAAGAAUCUGAAAAUGCUUCUAGGAUUUAAUAUCUCUUUGAGAGACGGCUUAGCUUUUAAAGAUUUUGGUAUAAGAAAGAACAAAUAAGCAAAGAUUUUUUUGUUAAUUGUGAUUUCAGCCCAUGGCUCGGUCAAAGUGUACCGGUUUAUGUUUGUUGUAA
This is a long non-coding RNA of Brassica oleracea var. oleracea, 712 nucleotides long. RefSeq lists it as uncharacterized. Lineage: Eukaryota; Viridiplantae; Streptophyta; Magnoliopsida; Brassicales; Brassicaceae. The record is from RefSeq and is a predicted model, not a curated record. The transcript has 2 exons.